Molecule: long non-coding RNA, 575 nt
Filed under: Gallus gallus (chicken)
Lineage: Eukaryota; Metazoa; Chordata; Aves; Galliformes; Phasianidae
Description: long non-coding RNA NONGGAT011765
Source: RNAcentral
CCAGCCUGCCGCGGCGGCGGGCACCCCGCCUGCCCCCCGCGCUCUCCCACCCGCAUCGCCGCGGGAACGGUUCGCGGCGCUCCCCUACCCAAAAGCUCUCCACGAAAUACGCCAUCAUCAUCCCGCCGUCGCCGCCCCGGUCCCGGCCCCAGCUCCAGCUCUCCCGGCCCGGCCCGGCCCCAACCGCCGAGACGCGACGGAGGAAGCAGGCGCCGCCGCCACGCGCCGCCCUUCCCGUCACGGCGCGCCGCCUCCCUCCACACGGCGGCUCCGCCCCGCCGCGCAUGCGCGUGGGUGAGGCGGGCCGAUGAGGCUUCUGCGCAGGUGCCGCCAGGACCACGCCCGGGAGGGGGAGGUAUUGGUUUACAGUGGUUGCCAAGGAAGGAUACUGGGUUAGUUAGCUGCUGUCCCAGUACAAUUGCUCCUUUGUUCUUCCAGCAUCAUGGGAGUGGACAGAAAAGAAUGCUAUUCUGAUAGCCGUAACUAUACCAUCCACAGACAGACACCUCAGCACCUACUAAUGGAAGGUACCACCUUCAUCAGCUGGAAGACAGACUUGAACUUCACAGUGCUCU